GACGAACGCUGGCGGCGUGCCUAAUACAUGCAAGUAGAACGCUGAAGGAGGAGCUUGCUUCUCUGGAUGAGUUGCGAACGGGUGAGUAACGCGUAGGUAACCUGCCUGGUAGCGGGGGAUAACUAUUGGAAACGAUAGCUAAUACCGCAUAAUAGUAGAUGUUGCAUGACAUUUGCUUAAAAGGUGCAAUUGCAUCACUACCAGAUGGACCUGCGUUGUAUUAGCUAGUUGGUGAGGUAACGGCUCACCAAGGCGACGAUACAUAGCCGACCUGAGAGGGUGAUCGGCCACACUGGGACUGAGACACGGCCCAGACUCCUACGGGAGGCAGCAGUAGGGAAUCUUCGGCAAUGGACGGAAGUCUGACCGAGCAACGCCGCGUGAGUGAAGAAGGUUUUCGGAUCGUAAAGCUCUGUUGUGAGAGAAGAACGAGUGUGAGAGUGGAAAGUUCACACUGUGACGGUAUCUUACCAGAAAGGGACGGCUAACUACGUG
RNAcentral lists this ribosomal RNA (495 nucleotides) under uncultured bacterium. RNAcentral describes it as "partial 16S ribosomal RNA". It matches the Rfam family "Bacterial small subunit ribosomal RNA", at positions 28 to 507 of the family's 1533-position model. The record is from RNAcentral.